RNAcentral lists this ribosomal RNA (253 nucleotides) under uncultured bacterium. Its description in RNAcentral is "partial 16S ribosomal RNA". It matches the Rfam family "Bacterial small subunit ribosomal RNA", at positions 524 to 776 of the family's 1533-position model. The record is from RNAcentral.
UACGUAGGGUGCGAGCGUUAAUCGGAAUUACUGGGCGUAAAGUGUGCGCAGGCGGCCGAGCAAGUCGAGUGUGAAAGCCCCGAGCUUAACCUGGGAACUGCGCUCGAAACUACUUGGCUAGAGUGUGGCAGAGGGAGGUGGAAUUCCACGUGUAGCGGUGAAAUGCGUAGAGAUGUGGAGGAACACCGAUGGCGAAGGCAGCCUCCUGGGCCAACACUGACGCUCAUGCACGAAAGCGUGGGGAGCAAACAGG